RNAcentral lists this RNase P RNA (354 nucleotides) under uncultured Treponema sp. RNAcentral describes it as "Bacterial RNase P class A". It matches the Rfam family "Bacterial RNase P class A". Rfam says of the family: Ribonuclease P (RNase P) is a ubiquitous endoribonuclease, found in archaea, bacteria and eukarya as well as chloroplasts and mitochondria. Its best characterised activity is the generation of mature 5'-ends of tRNAs by cleaving the 5'-leader elements of precursor-tRNAs. Lineage: Bacteria; Pseudomonadati; Spirochaetota; Spirochaetia; Treponematales; Treponemataceae. The record is from RNAcentral.
UGAUGAUAAAGCCUUGCUGUGAGGAAAGUCCGGGCUUCACCGGGAAAAUGCCGGAUAAUAACCGGGCCGGCAGGGUAGAUGUAAUUUUAUUACAUAUCCCUUGCCGGACAGAAAGUGCAACAGAAAACAAACCGCCCCUCAACGGGUAAGGGUGAAAAGGUGGAGUAAGAGACCACCGUGCAUUCUGGCGACAGAUGCAGCUGGCAAACCUCAUUUGAAGCAAGACCGCAUAGAAGUUGGUUUCCGGGCCGUACACUUCGGGUAGGUCGCUAAAGCCGUCUGGCAACAGGCGGUUCGGAUAGAUGGUUACGAACUGCUCAGGCAGUUGACAGAACCCGGCUUAUUUUCCCGUCU